AAAUCACGGUUGUCUUAAGCUAGGACAGGAUAAGUUGUUGUCCACUCACAUUUUAGCCUAAUUCUAUACAGACUUAAGAUGCACCUUGAUGAGAUGAUUGUCAGUUGGAAAGACUUUAUCAAAGCAGCAACAAGGAUCUCUCACUCUCGGCCCCUGUGGACACGAGUGGCACCAGUAUCACCACCUAAACCAUCUGGUUUGGUUUGUUUGGCAGGAUGCAUAGCGAUAAGGGGAGCAAAAACUGCCAUGGUUCGUGCAUGGCCCAGAUUCCCCAAGAUUCCACAGUGGGUAAUAAAAACCGCCCAGAACAUCAUCGGUACCCAUCUACAGCGCAUCAGUGAUACCUGUGAAGACAGAUGUCUGCACAGAGCCCAAAGGAUACUAUAAAGACAUCACCCACCCCAGCCAUGGUCUGUUCACCCUGCUGCUUGGCGAAAGGUCCCUCACCUCCUGCCCCUGUGUCCUUCCCCCCUGUGUGAUUACCUGCCCCGCCCUGAUUUGUUUCACCUGUGUCUCAUUGUCUCACCUCCCUGUGUGCUUUAAGUAGUUUGUCUCUCCCACCUUCUGUGCCACUUCAUCUUAGCUUGUCUCAUGUUCCAGUGAUUAUUUCCUAGUGUUUUUGGUGUAUUUUCUGCUUUCCUCACUGUUGCCCCUUUUUUUGGAUUGCUCGCUUGUGUACCGACCCUAUUGUGAUUAAACUAUCCUCUCCGAUAUCUGCAUUUUGGGUCCA
Molecule: long non-coding RNA, 730 nt
Organism: Acanthopagrus latus (yellowfin seabream)
Lineage: Eukaryota; Metazoa; Chordata; Actinopteri; Spariformes; Sparidae
Exons: 3
Source: RefSeq, a predicted model, not a curated record